AUAUAAAAUAUAUUGUCGUAGGUCAGGCCAAUGUUGAAAACUCACGGCAGUCGGCAACCGGCACAACUAUUCCUAACUGCUACAAAGACGCCAUUAUUGUUCCUAUAUUCUUGUUGUUAUUGUGAUUUUACCAGAGUUUAGACAUUUUUCCGGACAUCUCGAUGAAAGACGGUAACCAAUAGGCAAUAACCAUGUAGUUUGAAUUUGACAACCACGUCGAACAGGUGUUGAAGAUCGAUAAUACGGUGACGGAUAUGAGAAUCGGAGAAUAACUACGAUUUGAAAAACAAGUUACAAUUGAUAAUUGACAAGAUAAGUAAAAUGUUGACUGCGAUUCAAUAAUUAGAGUUGCCAAUUACCAGUGCAAACAAGCUUAUCAAUUCUAAUCAUAUUAUUAUAUGAUGACUGAAUAAAAACAUCAAGGUAUAACCAUCCACCUAUAAUUGGACAUCAUAAUCGUAAACAUCACGAUUCAAUAGGCGAAAUUAUACAAGAUACAGGAGCUUCUUCUGUGAAAGACAACAAUGAUAAUAAUUUGUAUGUGUACCUACUUUAGUGUUUAUGACCAAUCCAUUAAAGUAAAACCACAUAUUGAAGAAGCUUUAAACUUCAAAUCAACAAGUAUAGUGAUUAUGUAGAACUAGAUCUUAAAAAAAAAAAAAAAAUACCUUCAAAACUCAACAUGAUGUAAAAAACUAUUAAUUUGA
Long non-coding RNA from Melanaphis sacchari, 707 nucleotides. RefSeq lists it as uncharacterized. Lineage: Eukaryota; Metazoa; Arthropoda; Insecta; Hemiptera; Aphididae. The transcript is spliced from 4 exons. The record is from RefSeq and is a predicted model, not a curated record.